RNAcentral lists this ribosomal RNA (347 nucleotides) under uncultured soil bacterium. RNAcentral's name for it is "bacterial SSU rRNA". It matches the Rfam family "Bacterial small subunit ribosomal RNA", at positions 26 to 381 of the family's 1533-position model. The record is from RNAcentral.
AGAUUGAACGCUGGCGGCAUGCCUAACACAUGCAAGUCGAACGGGAGUAGCAAUACUCUAGUGGCGGACGGGUGAGGAAUACGUAGGAAUUUGCCCUUAAGUGGGGGAUAACCCGGGGAAACCCGGAUUAAUACCGCAUGACCUCGAAAGAGCAAAGUGGGGGAUCGCAAGACCUCACGCUUUUGGAGAAGCCUACGUCGGAUUAGCUAGUUGGUGAGGUAAUGGCUCACCAAGGCGACGAUCCGUAACUGGUCUGAGAGGAUGAUCAGUCACACCGGAACUGAGACACCGGUCCGGACUCCUACGGGAGGCAGCAGUGGGGAAUAGUUGGACAAGUGGGACGCAAG